GCCUGGGUGGCUCAGUCGGUUGAGCGGCUGACUUUGGCUCAGGUUGUGAUCCCACACUCUGUGAGUUCGAGCCCCGCGUCAGGCU
This 85-nucleotide transfer RNA is filed under the name Felis catus (domestic cat). It matches the Rfam family "tRNA". Rfam says of the family: Transfer RNA (tRNA) molecules are approximately 80 nucleotides in length. Their secondary structure includes four short double-helical elements and three loops (D, anti-codon, and T loops). Lineage: Eukaryota; Metazoa; Chordata; Mammalia; Carnivora; Felidae. The record is from Rfam by way of RNAcentral.